CCCGGGCCUUGUACACACCGCCCGUCACACCAUGGGAGUUGGCUUUACCCGAAGGCGGCGCGCGAACCCGCAAGGGACGCAACCGACCACGGUAAGGUCAGCGACUGGGGUG
Molecule: ribosomal RNA, 112 nt
Filed under: uncultured bacterium
Lineage: Bacteria
Description: partial 16S ribosomal RNA
Rfam family: Bacterial small subunit ribosomal RNA
Source: RNAcentral